Non-coding RNA from Mycobacterium noviomagense, 171 nucleotides. NCBI's taxonomy places the organism in Bacteria, Bacillati, Actinomycetota, Actinomycetes, Mycobacteriales, Mycobacteriaceae. The record is from Rfam.
CAAGCACCUCGCUAGGUGAGGCGUCUGCAGGGAUACAGGCCACUGACCCCGAACGUCGAGAGACGCCCAGGGUCAGGACAGCUCCUCCCGGCUUAAGGGUUGAGCCCAAGUGGCUUCCGGAUCUUCCGGAUACGCCUUGCAGUGCCAAAGCUCAGACGAGAGGGGUGCCGC